UGGGGAAUAUUGCACAAUGGGCGCAAGCCUGAUGCAGCCAUGCCGCGUGUAUGAAGAAGGCCUUCGGGUUGUAAAGUACUUUCAGCGGGGAGGAAGGGAGUAAAGUUAAUACCUUUACUCAUUGACGUUACCCGCAGAAGAAGCACCGGCUAACUCCGUGCCAGCAGCCGCGGUAAUACGGAGGGUGCAAGCAUUAAUCGGAAUUACUGGGCGUAAAGCGCACGCAGGCGGUUUGUUAAGUCAGAUGUGAAAUCCCCGGGCUCAACCUGGGAACUGCAUCUGAUACUGGCAAGCUUGAAUCUCGUAGAGGGGGGUAGAAUUCCAGGUGUAGCGGUGAAAUGCGUAGAGAUCUGGAGGAAUACCGGUGGCGAAGGCGGCCCCCUGGACGAAGACUGACGCUCAGGUGCGAAAGCGUGGGGAGCAAACAGG
This 429-nucleotide ribosomal RNA is filed under the name Chloroflexota bacterium. RNAcentral describes it as "Chloroflexi bacterium partial 16S ribosomal RNA". It matches the Rfam family "Bacterial small subunit ribosomal RNA", at positions 355 to 776 of the family's 1533-position model. Lineage: Bacteria; Bacillati; Chloroflexota. The record is from RNAcentral.